CUCUGUCCCUUAAUAAAGGGCGACCAGUGGUUGCUGGCAUUCCAGGGGGCAGUUCAUCACACAUACCAUGCAUCACAAGUGAUGGUGAAAAAAGGGUGACAUAUACUGAUGGACGGAUUGUAUUAUUGGACUCUCCAGAAAGAACACUGUCUGUCACAGUUGAUGAAGAUGAUGAUGACGAUGAAGAGACCACAUCUGCUGUGACAGAAGUGGACAAUGCUGGUAGAUCCACUGAGUACAUACCUAGGGAUUUGCCCACUGAUGAGGGUCCUUCAGCCUCAGCACACAAUCUUAGCAGGUUGCCAGCAAAGGAGCUGUAUAAGGUCCAUCUUCAAAAACAAAUAAGAAAAAGUGACAUGGAGAUGGACCUUAUACAGCUUCAAAUGGAAGAGAAAAGGCUCCUCAUUAAAAAAGCAGCACUUGAAAUAGAAUUACUUGAGAAUCGCCUUAAGGAAAUGAAGAAAUAAACUGCCUGGCAGACCAGUGCAAAAAAAACUAAUAAAAGUAAUUUUGACAAA
Long non-coding RNA from Carassius carassius (crucian carp), 518 nucleotides. RefSeq lists it as uncharacterized. The record is from RefSeq and is a predicted model, not a curated record. NCBI's taxonomy places the organism in Eukaryota, Metazoa, Chordata, Actinopteri, Cypriniformes, Cyprinidae. The transcript is spliced from 6 exons.